UAUUUCCUCGUCAGCCUUUGGUCUUGAAAACUUCACCGUCGAAAAUAAAACUGUCACUAAAAAGGCCAAGUGUCCAUAGUUAUGUCGCUGUACACAGAUGAACUUUUCAGUCAAUCAUUGACAACAAAUCCAUCAAUGGGAGAUCGUCUUUAUGUUGAAGUCAAACGUAAUACAAACAAAACAAACUCAACUGUUGGAAUAAAGUUAAAUGAAUGCUUUGUUACUUCAAAAAGCUCUUCGCGUCAAUUUAAAUAUGUUCUUAUUGAACGUGGUUGUCAAAAGGACAAGACGGUGAGAUUUUAUAAGACAUCAUCUCAUCAAACGUCAAGAUUCAGUUUUCUUGUUUUUCGUUUUCGUGGUUUACAUCAUUACCACACACGUGUUCACUGCAGAGUCAGUUUGUGUGUGGGAAAAUCUUGUGAAGUAGUGGGAUGUCUGUCAUCCAAGAUUGGAAAACGUUUCUUGUCUCAGUUUAGCAGUGAUCAACAAAUAGGAUAUUUUUACUAAACAGUACGCGGAAGGUAUCAUUCAAAACAGUUAUAUUUGAAGACCUCAAUUCUUUUAGCGACUGUAGUACAAACAGUAGAUAGAAGCUUGUUGACUUAGUUAUCAGUAUAUUACCGAUGUUCACAUGUUAGUAGCUUUAGAAUAAUAUGAAAUACAUUUAAAUGCAUUACA
Long non-coding RNA from Xenia sp. Carnegie-2017, 678 nucleotides. RefSeq lists it as uncharacterized. The record is from RefSeq and is a predicted model, not a curated record. Lineage: Eukaryota; Metazoa; Cnidaria; Anthozoa; Malacalcyonacea; Xeniidae. The transcript has 3 exons.